Molecule: long non-coding RNA, 7012 nt
Organism: Triticum aestivum (bread wheat)
Lineage: Eukaryota; Viridiplantae; Streptophyta; Magnoliopsida; Poales; Poaceae
Exons: 10
Source: RefSeq, a predicted model, not a curated record
CGGGAUCGAGCCUGGAGAGGAAAAUAGCUCUCGUUUCCUUCCCCGCUAAGGUUUCCAACACACGCGACCCCUCUCUCUCUUUCCUAUCCUCUCCUUCAACCCCUGCCUCUUCCCUGCUGCUCCGCCGCCGCCUCUUUCUCCGCCAAAUACACUACAUGCCGCCGCCUAUGCCCGUGCCCUCUUCAUCUCCCAUCCCGAGCUCCACCUCCUCCAGCCUCAUAUCCCCUGAUCUUCCCGAUUUGGUUCACGGGAGCACACGGGAGGGAGUCUUCGAGUGGUGGCAGCGUCAGAUCCCUCCGUCUCGCGAGGCAGGGUCUCCUGUCCGUGCCACGAUGCCGCCGGCAUGGAGGCCCAGGCCGGGUAGCCGCCGCGGUAUCGGGUGCGCCGGUGAGGUCUCUGGGGACCGCGCAGUAGGGGACUGGCGCGGCUUCUGGUCGUUGGUUCCGGCGAUGCCAAGCCAAAGAUCUGAGUCGUAGAGCCGCAAGUAGCAGCUGGACAUCCAUCCGCCGACCCCGAUAGCAAGCUUCGGCCAUCCGCCACCCCCGAGCUCCAUCCGUCUGCUGCCCCCUACCCCAUCCGGCUGCCUCGGAGUCACAGCCGUGGAUAGCCCCAUCAGCCGCAACCUUCACCAGCCAUGCACAAACCUUCCGAAGACAAAUUUUAGCUAUGUUAUGCCUGACGAGUUAUCCAUGCUGUGAUAGCUCCAUGGGCCUGACGAGUUAUCCAUCAUCCAUGUAUCUACUAAGUUAUCUAUGACGCUUAACCAUCAUCCAUGUAUCUAUCUUUCUUAUUAGUACUCCAGAACUAAGUCUUGUUUGGUCAUCAAUUUGUUCUCUGUUGGCAUGUAAAUUCUGGAUGUUUUUUUUGGUUUCCUCCUAAUUUAGUCCUAGGAAUGAUACAGGUUGUCAAGUUUUAUGUUGUUGAUCUGCUUCAGGCCAUGCUUCUCUGUUUCUUGAAUUAUAAUUGUUUGCAGAAUAUUUUGUGAGAGUUCCUGAUACUUUUCCUUUCUUAAAGAAGCAAACACAUAUUGUUUUCUUGAAAAGAUUGACAGCUUGUACUUCAAAUUUACCGUAUGGUAGUCAUACUAAUUUCUGAACCAGCUUAAUAGUUUUUGUAGGACCAUAGCAAAGAAUUAUAGCACCAACCACUUUAUUUAACGAUAGAUUUUUUUAGCAUCUACUUGUUAUACUAAAAUAUCAUGGUUUUCUGAAUUUAAUAUGUAAACGUGUCACCAUCGGGCACGCAACUCUCAUCUCCACUCUCUGUCAUCCGCUAGGGAUGGAGGGGCUGCCGAAAUCCACCUCAUGGAAGAGGGGUAGGCAGAAGUAUGGCGGAUGUUCCACUCGACGCAAAGUUUUUUGAUCUGCCCGUCUUCAAGGGCGUGGAGUGACGGAGGUUGUCUCCCUCCUUCCACACGGUCGCAACAUCAGGAGAGGGUUCAACCCCCGUGUGGUUCUGCACCAAGGUCUGUGACGAGGGUGAUUGGUAGUUCACCCUUACUAUGGAUGAUUAGUGGAAGUAUGUAGCAAACAAGUGCUUACAGUAGGAACAUGAAAAGGCUGGCUUGAUGCAGUUAUGUACUGUAUCGGUUCUGAAUAACCCUACUUGUGCAGUUUCUGUCAAGAAUGGAAUCUAUGAGUUCUGGAACUGGUUUGAUGAUAGGACUUGGUAAGAGCCUCACAAACAGCUGAAUAAUUUAAUAAUGUGCAGGUUAUUUGUAAAGCAAAAACACAGUUAGAAUACAUGGCUGAAUUAUCUUCUGCUGCCUUUAUUUUGAGUAUCCCCUUGGUCGUGUUAUCGGUGACACUAUGUAUCCUGGGUUGACGUUUUGAUAGCUGGAAGCAUUUGGUGGCAUGUUACUGAAAAAUGUGCCUGAAAUAUUUGAUCGGUCUACUAAGUUGGUAAACGCUCUAAACAUCCAAGUGUUGGUGGAGAUCGUUUGCGUGUUACUGCUCCAAUUUUCUCAGCAAAUGCUUUGUGGGCUACUUACCUCUUGACAAAGGUUGUUUUUUCACAGAAGCAUGUAUUCUCACAGUAGCCAGAGUGUAUCAGUUUUUUAUCUGGUAAUUCUGUUCUCAUUAAUGUUAAUUUUUCUGUAGGAAGCAAAGGGCACUGGAGCUGGAUAGAUGCCAGCAGCCAUUCUGGCAAUGGUAAAUUGCACUUUAUUUAUAUAUGUUUUCAUUUUCAUAUGCCAUGGUCUAAGUGGAAAUAUAAAUACUUCUCGAUGAAGCUAGGGAUGCCAUUAAGUAGCUUUAGCUUUACCUAUCUUUGGGUGGGAACAUUGCACUCUUUAACAACGAAAGAGAGGGCGAGAGGUGAUCCUUCUGCUCUUUACUUGUGAAUCUCUAUUUCUUACUAGCUCAGGGAACUUGCACCCAACAAAUUAAUGGAUGAUCUUGCAAACCUCAUCAAGUAUAUUUGUAGUUAAACUGUGAAUUUGAAAACAAAAAAAUUGUACAUUUGUUCAUGUUAAAUUUAGAUGUGUUCUUGGGCAAUAAUCGAUGGUAGAUAAUACAUGAUGAGGGAUGGCCUUUAUUGCUACAAUUACUUUUCCUAUCCGUCCUUAGUUUCUUGGAUGUAUAUUAGUUUCUGUUUGCCGGACGCGGAGUAACUGUGCACGAGCUCAAAUGCUCUCGUUAUCCACAGCGUUGGCUGGCGCCUAUGGAUGUGUGCGAUUAUUUUAUACUACCGCUGUUGGUCGUUUAGAAAUCGAGUACUGUUCUGGAAUACGUACACGGCAGCGGUAUACACUGGGCCAGGUUUAACGAUCGGGAUGACGAAAGUUUGCCGCCGGGGAGCUGUUCCAUGGAUCAGAAUCGGAGCCGCCGUCUGAUCCGUGGAUCAGGAAGUUCGCUUUACCGUCCGGCCGGCCCUGAGUCAAAUUGAAUGCAGGGUCCAACGUGUUCUUUUGCAAGGCGAGUGGUGGUUUGAAGGUAACGAGUGGGAGAUAGAGAUUCGGAGCGGCGGCGGCGAUCCAUGGAGCUUUUUGUGCAGCCGAUCGGCAGAUACGCGGAUGCUUUCUUCGCCGCGCGAGCUUGUCUAGCGCAUCUGAGUUAGCUUCUUGACUAUGAUUUGCUUUUCCCCAUGAUUUAGAUCUGCUCUUCUUGAGGGGGUAGGAGAGUCUGGUGCCUCCCCCAUGUAGUUGUGAAUGGCGGUGGUGGCGGAGCAAGCGCUGCCGGAGCAGCAGAUGGCGGCCGAGAGCGGCGAAGCACAGAUCUUGGCGGCGGCGGAGGCUGCAGCGGGCAGAAGGGAAAGCUCCCCUCCAAAGUCCGAGCUCUCGACGGGGAAGAGGAAUCCCCUGGCGCCCGGAUGGAAUCAGAGAUGCAAAGGCUGAGGAUUGGUGCUGCUGCACCAAGCAUGACACCGUGUCCCGAAUCGAAUCAGUGCGUUCGAGAAGGCUGUAAGAUGUUUUGCAGAGAAGCCUGCUGAAAAUGUUCUUGGUACUACAUUUGACUCCUUGGGCGAGGCUUAUGACUUCUACAAUCUGUAUUCAUGGGAAAAAUGUUUUGUCAUUCGCUACGGGAAGAGUCGGCCAAAUGUGGAGUGGGUAAAAUGCAUACAGGAAAUAGUCUGUGGCUGCUCGGGUAAAGCUGGUGUAGACUUCUACGGGCAGAAGAUAAUGGGCGGUAUAUUGCAGAGCAUAGAGAAAAUCAUAAGCACUCACUUUCGCCUAAUUUUGCUGACAAAAUCCAUUGUCCAUCACAUAAGCAUAUUGACGUGUACCUGAGAGAUCUCAUAAAGCAACUCAGGCAAAACAAUGUGAAUCUGGGCAAGGUUUAUAGUAUCAUAGGUGGCAUUUUCGGUUCAAUGGAGAAUGUUCCCUUCACCAAAAGGUCAUUGCGAAAUCUGUGUGGGCAGAUAAACAGGGACCAAGCGGAUGAUGAUGUGAGGAAGACAGUGGAAGUUUUUGCAGACAUUGGAGCCACGGAUCUGCAUUUCACAUACUGGGUUCAGGCUGACACUGAGGGCAGGAUCAAGAACCUUAUUUGGGCAACUGGUACCAGAAGGUUGCAGUACAUAUUUUUUUGGAGACGUGAUAACAUUUGACACCACAUACAGGACCAACCUGUAUGAUAUGCCUUUCAGGUUGUUUGCUGGAGUCAACAAUCAUUUCCAGAGUGUGAUAAUGAUGGGCGUGCUAGUCCAGGAUGAGACAAAAAAGAGUUUCGACUGGCUAUUCUUGGAGUUCGUCAGAAUGAUGGGUGGAUCUCCACCAGUCACCAUACUCACAGGGUUGACCACUACUGAGAGCGAACCUUGCAGUGGAGAGGCAUGCCAGCAAGAUAUACACGAGGGCUAUGUUUGAGCAUUUUGGACACAUUUUGUAUGAGUGCGGGGCUUUUCAGGUUGAAGAGAUUCAAAAACAUAAGACAUACAUCACGAUCUAUAGUGAAGCAGAGAAAAGAGAGAAGUGGUCGAAAAUUUCAUACAAGGUUACAAUGCUUGGGCAAUGAAUUCGACUGCGAGUGUGGGAAAUUUGCACACAUGGGCCUGCUGUGUAGCUAUGUACUGAAGGUGCUCGAUUUCAUUGGGGCUAAAGAAAUACCAGCUAAGCAUAUAGUGAAGAGAUGGACGAGGGAUGCUUGCGACGUUCUGCCACCUCAUUUGAUACAAUGCCAAAAGGACAGCAUACAGAACAACCCUUUAUCGUACAGACACUUCAUGAUGUACUUGCACGCCAUGGAUCUAGUCAGGCUGGGCGACACUAGCAUUGAAGCCUACAAUCGGUUGCUGUAGUUGUUCAAGUCCAACUUGAUAGUGAUGGUACCCUAUGUAGAAGUUAGGGAUGGUCUUGGCCAGACUGGCGGACAGUGGUGCCGUAAAUCAGAGCCCCAUGGAGAUGGUUGCAGUGGAACAAAACAUGAUCGUUGAUGGAGGUACUGCUCAUUUAGUGGACAAUGAUUCUGUGUCCAGGAUAAGCAACAUGUUGGAAGGACUACUGGCUCCAGCAAAAUAGAAAGAUAUGGGACGGCCAAUGACAAGUAUGGAGAAGGCUCCAUAUGAAGUUCUAAGCAAGAGGACUAGGUUUUGCAUAAUUUGCAGAAAGCAAGGGCAUAAGCGAACUACAUGCCCUGACCCUGGUGAUGUCCCCAAGCAACCUUCGAAGCCUGCCAAAUGCAAGAACUAUGGCGUCGAGGGGCACCGACGAAAUCAUUGUAAUAAAGCAAUGGAACUAAGGCUGGCACCUGGCAAAUGGAAUGUAGAAGCUGAUGUGGCUCAUGAUGUCUUUCAGUUAUCUUAUUUGCUAUUGAGGCAUAUGAAUGUAGGUAUCAUGUUUUAGCUUCGGUGUGAUCAGACCGUGGUUACUUUCCAGACAGUGCAUGAGUAAUAUAAUAUACGGAGUAUGUCAGAUUGUCGGACCCUUCCCCAGACCCUGCGCAAGCGGGAGCUACAUGCACUGGGGCUGCCCUUUUUUUAGUAUGUCAGAUUGUGUCACUGCUUUUGUUCCAAAAUGUUGGCUUGUCCCCAGGUUUUGAUGAAUUUGUGUGCAUGCUUUUGAAGGUAAAACCUUGGCCUGUUGGUGCAGCGGGAGUGGCUGAAUUGUUCUGAUUCGUUAUCUGAAAACUUGUACACUCCUGAAUAUUGAAAGAGAUGCAGAUGUGUUCUCGUUCGCUAUCUGAUUUCUGGAUUGUAAUCUAAGUUCCGGCCGUCGAUGCUUCACAGCAGGUAAACUGUUUGGCAUGAUGUUUUCGUAUGUAAAAAAAAUCCCCCAUGUAAAUGCCCCAUGACGCCGGCGAGCUUGUGUUUGAGCGGAGAAGGAGAUGGAGGCAUCAGGCAGCGGUGUAUUUGCUUCCGUACUCACAUGGCUCACCAGAUAUGCCUUGCCGGCGAUCAUCAACGAGCUUUCAGGGGGGAAGAGCUGUGUGAACCAGGUAGCAGAAAAUGAAUCUGAAGACACUGCAGAUUUGGUGGUGUCCUACGGAUCAUUUGAGAGCUCCUUCUCGAACGUCGCUGGAUUGGUCUCAGAUGAAGAUGAAUCAUAUGAAGAGCAGCCGCGCUUGCAGGCUUACAUGGAGGCGGAUCAUGGUGGUGAAGAAAGGACUGGCGACUAUGAUCCAUUUGGAGCCGCAGGGACUGAAGACCUGAAUGCCCUUGUUGGUGAAGAGGGAGAAGAUGGAGACAGAGGGGAACGAAUCUUCGGGAGGAAGGGACGAUGGGUUUGCCACAAUAAAUGCCUUAGUUGGAUGGAUCCCGUUAGAUGACUCACUUCUGAGCCGUGGGACAUGUAGUGCGGUCGCUUCUGAUCCGCCUCGCGGGCGGUGACAAUGUUCGCAUUAAAAGCGGUGGUUGAGUGGGCCAAGGGCUCUGAAAAGGCAGCAUAUACUACUUCAUAUACGAUGAGAUAUACCAAAGCUGGUGCGAAUCUAGGCGUGAGCUGAUGGCUAAGAUAUAGAGCUCAUCUGAGCUCGAGCUCAGAAUAGUACUUCCGCUGUUUGCCCCCUUUCUUUUUAGGGAAAGUUUUCUUACUGCCACAACUUGGUUGUUCUAACAUGACAAAAUAUUGGAUUUAUUAUCCUGCUAAAUACUGGAUGCUAGCUCAUUUUACUUCAGCUCAUAAGGAAAGGGAUCUGUAUGCAAAGCGUGUCAUGGGACAAAGCGUGUCAUGGGACGAGCAAGGAUGAGAAGCACUCCGUACACAACCACAAUUGAUGGGAUGACGGGACUUGAGGUUUGCACCAGAAUCAAGCAUCAGUUCAAUGGGAACUGGAAUGAUGAAAACAUUUGUCGUGCCUCGGAGUGUGGCGCCAAAGAGAAGGACGAGCAGUCAAUGGUGUCUUCGUCUUCGCCGGUCGCGCUGGUGUGUCAUUCCUUUCCCUGCUCCGCCGCCUAGGAUACUCCACCACCACGGGAUUCGAGUACGGCCUUGCCUUGGAUGGGUUGAGGAUGAUCAGUACGUCUGGAUUUUACCAUCCUUCUUGGAUGUGAUUUCCAUUCGGUUUUUCCUCCUUGUUUAGCUUCUCUUCUAUGCAUGGUGUAUAUGCCCUUCGGAGGAUUGUGUUAAUGCAUCAAA